Molecule: ribosomal RNA, 326 nt
Filed under: uncultured Thelephoraceae
Lineage: Eukaryota; Fungi; Basidiomycota; Agaricomycetes; Thelephorales; Thelephoraceae
Description: LSU rRNA
Rfam family: Bacterial large subunit ribosomal RNA
Source: RNAcentral
UAAAUAUUUAUGGUGGUGUCACAAAAUCGGAGGCCCCGACUGUUUACUAAAAACACAAUUCAGAGCAAUGAUGUAAAUCAUAGUAUUCUGGAUGAAAUUUGCCCGAUGCCAUUAACAUAAAAGAGGUAAUGGGAAACUGUUACUAAUUGAAAGUCUGGUUAAUAGCGGUCUUAACUAUGAGGAUCCUAAGGUAGCAAAAUCAGUUGGCCAUUAAAUGUGGUCUGGUAUCAAUAGUGUAACGAUGGUCUCACUGUCUCUACAACUUGCUCAGUGAAAUUGAAUUAUCCGUGCAGAUGCGGAUUGCCUCCAGGUGGACGGGAAGACCC